UACGGGGGGAGCAAGCGUUGUUCGGAUUUACUGGGCGUAAAGGGCGCGUAGGCGGCCACCGCAAGUCAAUUGUGAAAUCUCCGGGCUCAACCCGGAACGGUCAACUGAUACUGCGGGGCUAGAGUGCAGAAGGGGCAACUGGAAUUCUCGGUGUAGCGGUGAAAUGCGUAGAGAUGUGGAGGAACACCGAUGGCGAAGGCAGCCUCCUGGGCCAGCACUGACGCUCAUGCACGAAAGCGUGGGGAGCAAACAGG
This 254-nucleotide ribosomal RNA is filed under the name uncultured bacterium. RNAcentral's name for it is "partial 16S ribosomal RNA". It matches the Rfam family "Bacterial small subunit ribosomal RNA", at positions 524 to 776 of the family's 1533-position model. The record is from RNAcentral.